This 389-nucleotide ribosomal RNA is filed under the name uncultured bacterium. RNAcentral describes it as "bacterial SSU rRNA". It matches the Rfam family "Bacterial small subunit ribosomal RNA", at positions 28 to 417 of the family's 1533-position model. The record is from RNAcentral.
GACGGACGCUGGCGGCGUGCUUAACACAUGCAAGUCGAGCGGUAAGGCCCUUUCGGGGGUACGACGAGCGGCGAACGGGUGAGUAACACGUGGGUGACCUGCCCUCAGCUCUGGGAUAAGCCUGGGAAACUGGGUCUAAUACCGGAUAUGACUCCAUGACGCAUGUUGUGGGGUGGAAAGCCUUGUGCAGCUGAGGAUGGGCCCGCGGCCUAUCAGCUUGUUGGUGGGGUGAUGGCCUACCAAGGCGACGACGGGUAGCCGGCCUGAGAGGGCGACCGGCCACACUGGGACUGAGACACGGCCCAGACUCCUACGGGAGGCAGCAGUGGGGAAUCUUGCGCAAUGGGCGAAAGCCUGACGCAGCGACGCCGCGUGAGGGAUGACGGCCU